Marmota monax (woodchuck) is the source of this 7962-nucleotide long non-coding RNA. RefSeq lists it as uncharacterized. The record is from RefSeq and is a predicted model, not a curated record. NCBI's taxonomy places the organism in Eukaryota, Metazoa, Chordata, Mammalia, Rodentia, Sciuridae. The transcript has 2 exons.
AGAAAAAUAAAACCACAACAGAAGCCAGCCGCUCUCCCCCUACAUCUCUGACAAGCUAUUUUUCUGUGUCCUCUCUUGGCCACCAAAACAAACGUCACUAUGGAUACCCAGUGCUUUGUUUGCAUCUUACAAUUUCAAUCCUUCCCCAGGAAUUUUGAAUCUUCCAGCCCUUGAAUGGAGAAGGCGUGAAUCCCGCUGCUCUUGUCUUACUGCAUGUUGUCUAACCUAAGUCCUGCACAUCCUAGAGAGCAGACUUCCUGUUUUGCUGAGCCUGGCCGGAGUGGCUUUCUAGCACUCACAACCAAAGGAGUCCUAAAAACUUUGGAACAGGCCAGCUGGAGCCAAGAACAGGGGGCAGGCCAUCAUUGAACAGAGGACGGUACAUUCCCAAGCCAAAUAUGGUAAGCCUGGCUUGGCCAGAGGGCCCCGCUGGACCUCCUGUCCAUGCAGAACUCGGCAGAGAGGCCAGAAGGAGGAAAGAAGCCCAUUGUUCUGAGUGCCUGGCUGCAGGGUGGGAGCCAAGAGGCCCAGGGGGACAAAGUCAAAAUCCAAGGCAAGUCCCAGGCUGGAGUGGCGUGGGGGGCAUGGCUGGGAACGGGAACCCAGGGGAGCGGAAGCCAAAGAUGCCUGGAUUUCAUGGCCAAAUAGAAGGGGCAGAAAGCCCAGGAGUGGCCCAGGGUCCAGCCAGCAGGGAAGAAGACAGCCUUGGGACACCAGAGAGCCCUGACGACGGUCCCAGGGAAGGCUCUGUUCUGUGCGUGUGAAUACACCUCUUAAAGGCCCAGCACCCCUGUCACCGGCAUCUCCCUGCCAGGUAGGGCCAUUGAGAUGGAAAUCCAGUGCCUGAGCCCAAAUCAAACCUAAGUCAGAGCCAGGCCUGGUGGCACCUGUCAUCCCAGCUACUCAGGGGGCUAAGGCAGGAGGAUCACAAGUUCAAGGCCAGCCUGGAGGACUUAGUGAGAACUUGUCUCAAAAUUUAAAAAUGAAAAGGGCUAGAGGUGUAGCUCCAUGGUAAAGCGCCCCCUGGGUUCAACCCCCAGUACCCCCACCACCACCAAAAAAAAAAAAAAUCAGGAUCACAAAGCUCAUCUUAAGAGCGGUCCCUGAGGCUGAAUUCUACACCUCUUUACUUCUGUUUUCAGACCGGUCAUAGGGUCAUAGCAAGCUUGCUUAUCUACAGCUGGGCUCCUCAGCCUGGCUAUGACACUCAGGGCAGGUUGUUCUCUGCCAGAGGAGGUGCCUCCUAUACUGCAGGAUGCUUAGCAGCCUCCCUGGCCUCUACCCACUGGGUGCCAGCGGCACCCACCCUCCCAUGUGUCAACCAAAAUGUCUCCAGACAUUGCCUUAUGAUACAGAUCAUCUCAGGUGAGAUCCACUAUGCUGCAGCGACAGAUUGAGAACCAGCCAAAAAAUCAGAAAAGGCCACAGCCCAGGCCAGCCAGCUGAGCAGCAGAGCGAGGAGCAGGACAAUAGCCCUUAAGGACAGGUGGCCUAUGGCGGAGCAAGCAAUCCCACUUUGUGCUCAUCAGAGAACUAGGGCUUCCCUGCCCAGAAUGCCAUCUGUGGCUGCCUGCCUUUUGGUGAGGAGGCAGGACAAAGUCUGUUAUCCUCAUCUUCUUCUUUCACUUAAAUUAACAAAUCAAGGAGUGAAGAGGUUCAUUGAAUUAGUCUUGGGACCAAGGUCCUCCAUCCCGGCUCAGCUCUCUGGCCCCUAGACCUCCCUGAUGGACGUUCCCAGGGAGCCGCAGCAAGGUGUGACCAGGCCUGUGUGAGAAAGCGGGUGGAGGAAAUGUGUACCCACAGAGUGACAGCGCUUCCCUGGGGAAAACAGGAUUACAGGGGUCUUUGAUCCUUCUCUUAAGCAGUGCUAGACAGAGUCCGGCACCUAGUAGGCUCCCACUCAGUAUUUGUUUGAAUUAAAUGAGAUUUAGGUUUUAAUCUAAACCCAAUUAAAAUAUAAAUGAUCUAAACAAAAUUAUGGUUUACAGAUUUCUACAUUAAUUCUGUACUGCUUUGGGACCUGGAGAGUGACUUAGUCUGUUGUGGGCUGCUAUAACAGAAUACCUGAGACGGGAGAGUUUAUAAAGAAUAGAGAGCGGGGCACAGUGGUGCAUGUCUGUAAUCCCAACAGCUCAGGAGGCUGAGGCAGGAGGAUUGUGAGCUGAAAGCCGGCCUCAGCAAUUUAGCAAGGCCCUAAGCAAUUCAGUAAGAUCCUGUCUCUAAAUAAAAUACAAAAUAGGGGAUGUGGUUCAGUGGUUAAGCACCCUUGGGUUCAAUCCCUGGUACCAAAAAAACAAGAGAGAUCUAUUUCCUAUAGUUCUAGAGGCUGAGAAGUGAGACUCGGCUGACUCUGGUGAGGGCUUCUUUGCUGUGUUCUAGGAUGACAGUCGGCAUCACCUGGCCAGAGAGCAAGAGGGGGUCCAUCUCGAGAUAACUGACCCGCUGCAGCCGUGUGGACAUUAAUCCACUCCCUCGAGCCAAGCCCUCUUCAUAGGCUCCAUUUCUCAACACCGUGGUGUUGCCGGUUAAGUUACCAACACAUGAAAUCAGGGAGACGUAUUCAAGCCACAGUGGAGGGUGAUGGGUGUUCACGCCUUUCUUUCUUUUUUUGCUUUUUGAUUUGUUGUGGUUUUUGCAGGGCUGGGGAUGGAACCUAGGGCCUUGUGCAUGCCAGGCCAGUGCUCUACCACUGAUCUGCACCCCCAAUUCUAUUUUAGCUUUUUUUUUUUUUGGUGGGGAGGUACCAAGGGUUGAACUCAGGGGCGUUCAACCACUGACCCACAUCCCCAGCCCUAUUCUGUAUUUUAUUUAGAGACGGGGUCUUGCUGAGUUGCUUAGCACCUCAAUUUUGCUGAGGCUGGCUUUGAACUCCCGGUCCUCUUGCCUCAGCCUCCUGAGCCCGUGGAAUCACAGGCGUGAGCCACUGCACCCAACAAGGCUUUUUUGAUGAGAUCUUCUCAGCACUUCAGGGCCCAUCUCCAAACCUGCUUCUGUCCCAUGACCUGUCCCCUCGUCUUGCCAGUACUUUGACAUGCUACAGUUAUCAUGUAGGUCAGAGGAGUUAAGACUCUCUGUACCCACUCGGAGCCAGGUGCAUGGGGCAGACAAGCAAUGCCUGCAGGCUGGAGGUGUCUCUCUCAUUUCUUUUUUUUUUAAAUAUUUAUUUAUUUAUUUAUUUUAGUGUUCGGCGGACACAACAUCUUUGUUUGUAUGUGGUGCCGAGGAUCGAACCCGGGCUGCACGCAUGCCAGGCGUGCGCGCUACCGCUUGAGCCACGUCCCCAGCCCUCUCAUUUCUUGUUUGCAGCAGGCACUGUCCUCACUCCUCAAGGGGAAGAGAAGAUGGAGAGCUUCCCUAUGGGGUCACCAUUGCAAAAGAAGUACUGUAGCUGGGCACCUGAAAUCUCUUAAACCAUAUUCUCCUCUUUUUUCUCAGAACAUCAUGACCAAAACAUGAGCUGAGUUAGACGGAUGGCUGUCUGGCACAUGCACAGGAAGCUUGCGUGCACGCACACAAGUGCGUGUGGAUGUGUGUGGGGCUGUGAGCGUGCUUGAGUGCGUAAGUGUGCGUGGGAGGGUAUGGUGUGCUGUGUGCACAUGCGCUCUCAGGUCCUCCACAUGCAUGUUCUACUUGGGGUCAUUUGGGGUCUGCAUUCCAGUUGUUGGAAACAGAAACUGAGCCAAGAGGCCUCUUUGGAGAUCAGGGAUCUGAGUCUCGGUCCUUCCUCCUGCAGCAGAAAUGGACGCUGAGGUGGGCUCGGUGGCUCACACCUAUAAUCCCAGCAGCUUGGGAGGCUGAAGCAGGAGGAUCACAAGUUCAAAGCCACUCAGCAACUCAGCGAGGCCCUCAGCAACUCAGUGAGACCCUGUCUCUAAAUAAAAUACAAAAAAGGGCUGGGGAUGUGGCUCAGUGGUUAAGUGUCCCUGAGUUCAAUCCCAGGUACCAAAAAAAAAAAAAAAUGGAUGCUGUGGUGAAUCACACUGUUGGCUGGACAGCGGGGACUCCUGGCUGGGAUACAUGGCUCCCAAGCUGCCUAAGUGAUGUCACCAUCAGACCUUCCUAUAGGGAAAGCUCCAGCAAGACGGCCCCUAGCACAGUGUGAGGCUCUGGACCGUGGCCACUGACCGGAAGGAUUACAUCUCAGGAUGUCAAGGUCGGGGCACACAGUUUGGCCUGUGUUCAGAGACUUGAGGGAUCCUUCACCCUCUCUUUGGUUUUUGGGGUUUUGUUUGUUUGUUUGUUUUUGUACCAGGAAUUGAACCCAGGGUGCUUAACCACUGAGCCACAUCCCCAGCCCUUUUUGUAUUUUAUUUAGAGACAGGGUCUCACUGAGUUGCUUAGGGCCUUGCUAAGUUACCGAGGCUGGCUUUGAACCUGCAAACCUCCUGCCUCAGCCUCCCGCAUGUUGCUAGAAUUGCAAGUGCACACCACCGUGCCCAGCCCUUCACCCCCUCUGUGAAGAGGUGAGCAGGGAGCCAUGCCAUUCCUCCUGGUCCAGGAGAUUCACAUCCUGGGAAUUCCCAAGGCUCUGCCCUUAAAGAUCUAAUUUGAAAUCCAAAUUCAGCCGUGGGAGAAGCCGACCUCCUCAUCCGAUUCUGGUUCUUAGUCCAGGGUACAAGACGAGAUCUCACGCCUGCUCUGCUGGUGGGAAUUUGGCAUGAGACUUGUGCCCUGAGAACAGCAGUCAUGGAAAGACCCUGGGGCUCCCUCUCAGGGAGGCCAAGAUGAACCAGGAACUGCUGGGCCAGCGGGAGAGGCACAGCAGAGAAGCCGCUCAAGGUCACCUUAAGAAGACACUUUGGGGGACAUGGCCCAGGCGCCCUGCCAAGUGCUGCAUCAAACGCCGGCUCAGGGAUCUUCAAAGCAAUGCCCAAGGGCACUGGGGCCUGAAGCUGCUCAGCAGACAGAGCAGCAAACCCAGGCUCAGAAAUCGGAAGUGACUUUCUUGUUAUCACACAGCUAUCGAGUGGCAGAGCCAGGAUUCAAACAAGGUCAGGAAUGAAGUACAAAAUGUCCAGCAAUCAAUAGAGCGGCUGGAUAAACAAUGGUUUAUUUAUGGAAUACUGGGCAGCCGCUGACAUUUCUUGGUAGAAAAAUAUUGAAUGGCCUGGAAAGAUGUGCAAGAUAUGUAGCGAAGUAGAGGAAAAGAGAGGCCACCAAGCAGUGUGGGCUGCAGAUGGGUUGUUAAAAAGUAAAAUAAACAUGGCGAGACCCUGACUCAAAAGAAAAAUAAAAAGGAUGUAGCUCAGUGGUAGAACAUCCUUGAGGUCAAUCCCUAAUGCUGAUAGACAGAUAAUAAGCUAAGCUCAGUGGCUCACGCCUGUAAUCCCAGUGGCUCAGGAGGCUGAGGCAGGAGGAUUGCAAGUUCAAAGCCAGCCUCAGCAACGUAGUGAGGCCCUAAGCAAUUCAGUGAGACCCUAUCUCAACAAAAAAUAUAAAAAGGGGCUAAGGAUGUGGCUCAGUGGUUGAGUGCCCCUGGGUUCAAUUCCCAGUGCCAAAUAAUAAUAAUAAUAAUAAUAUAAAAACCAGAAAAGUAAAUACAGAGGUAUUAUUUCCCAAAAGAAAAUCAAAACAUGAGCUGUGGCAUUCUCUGGAUAACAGGAGUGGGUAAGAUUUUUACCCUUGCUUUGUCCUGUUUUCUUACGACAUUCAUUUUGUAACAAGAACAAAUCUGAUAUGGAAGUGCCCCAGCUGUGUUCCUGCAGGGACGGCAGAGGGCAGGGGGCAUGGGUGGCACUUGUUGGUGAGGGUUGAGCAAAAGCAGGAGGGUGUGGCGGGAAGCGAUGCCUUCCUAGGAAGGCAACCUGGCUCAGGCUGAGGAUCCUGUGUUGAUCAGAAUUCACUGGACUUUUCAAAGUCCAUUUCCUGCCCCGAGGUUAGCCUGCCUUUCAGCCCCUCUGAUGAAUCACACGGACCACACGUGGAGACCCGCCUCCUGUUUUGUAAUCCUCCCUGCAUUCUUAGCCAAUCUGCCAGCCAGAGCCAACCUCAGGUCCUGACAGUCAUCGCAGUGUCCUUGGUCUCAGCAGACCGUGGAGGGGUGAGCAGACUCCUGGCUCAGACCCUGAGGGGGCAAGAAGUGGCUGGGUCAAAUGCCUUGUGCCGUCAGUAAGAAGCAUUCUGCCAUCCCCCCAACCCUCCCCUGCUCUCUGCUGAGACUCUCCGGGGAAGAGGGGAUUCUCAGACAACCCUUUGGCCACUGCACUUGGCUCUUGCCUGGAAUAAUUAGAGACAGAGCCAGGAAUGAUGUCAUGCCUCUGCAGGAGAUGGAGGAUGACUUUGAGCAAGGCCUUGGCCUCGGCCCUCUCGUUUGUCAAGCAAGUUGGGGUGGACUUGACAAGUUCUAGCAUUCCAGCUCCAGCAUCCUGAUGUGAAGACAGUCAUCCCCCUGGCAAAUCACACUCGAAGAGAGUGGAGGCCCAGCUUUGCACACUCAAGUCCCUUCUCACCCUCUUCCUCCAAAUUCCCCAGGGAACCCUGCUUCCUCUCCUGGUUCUACCCACAUGGCUGUCAAUCAAGGCGCCCCACCUCCUUCCAGGGCGUGGUGCCUACUCCAGAGGCUGAGGCAGGAGGAUCACAAAUUCAAGGCCAGCCUCAACAAUGUAGGUGGGUCCUAAGCAACUUCAGGGAGACCCUGUCUCCAAAUUUAAAAAUAAAAAGCUCUGGGAUGUGGCUUGGUGGUUAAGUGCCCCUGGGUUCAAUCCCUGAUGCCCAGAACAAAAAGGAAUGGAGGGUGGUAAGCACAAGGCUUGGGCUCCAUCCCCAGAACCAAAAAGAAAGAACAAGGUUUAUUUGACUCACAGUUUUGAAGGCUUCAGCCUUAGACAAUUGGCCCCCUUGUUUUGUUGUUUUGUUUUGUUUUGGGUACCAGGGAUUGAACCCAGGGGCACUCAACCACUAAACCACAUCCCCAGCCCUGUUUUGCAUUUUAUUUAGAGAUAGUUUCUCACUGAGUUGCUUAGCGCCUCACUUUUUCCUGAGGCUGGCUUUGAACUCAUGAUCCUCCUGCCUCAGCCUCCCCCCGUGCUGCCAGGAUUACAGGUGUGCACCACUGUGCCAGGCAGUCCCCCUUGUUUUUGGACCUCUGGAGAGACAGCACAUUAUGGGGGCAGGAAAUGGCAAAAUUCUCACCUCAAAACAGAGAGGAAGAGGAAGAAACUGAGGUCUCCCAACAUCCCUUUCAAGAUCACUCCCCAGUGACUGGAAGGACCAAGCCUUUAACACCAGGUCUAUGGGGGACAAUUAUCCAAACCCCGAUAGGAAACACAGAAGCUACGUUUGGGCUGGACACGGGAACUGUGAUGCCCAUCUUGCAGCAAGCUGUCCCCAGGAGCUGGGAGUGGACGGGGCCUCUGGAUGCAGGGCACACCAGUGUGUGCUCCACAAUCAAUGCUCACCCUGUCAUGGGAGGCUGGCACCCUCUAGCACUGGGAAUGCCGGGACCUGGAGUAGAAUUAGCCCGUCAGGCCCUGCUGAUACGUGGCAUUUGGAAUCAUCCCCUCACUGCCUCAAGCUGACAGAGGACGCUGGCCCCAGCCACAAGGCCAAGGAAGAUCUGGGUCUUCAUGUCAUGGGUGGUAGAUCAGUGCCGAUCAGUGUUCCUGAAUGGUGUCGUCCAGGAUUCCAGUGCUGAAUCCUAUCCCACUGUGACUGUGGUGGAGAUGGGGCCUCUGGGAGGUGAUUAAGGUUGAACAAGGUCACCCCGGGGGGGGGGGGGGGGUGUCUUAUCCCAAAGAAUUGUUGGCCUUCCAAGAAGAGGAAGAGACUGCUGGCUCUCCCUGAUGCCACACAUCUGCGUGCUCUUUCCCUCCCACCUCCCAGGGACAUGCCACGUGGGCACAGUGGAAGGCCGCCAUCUAUAAGCCAUGAAGAGGACCCUCACCUGAACCUUGCUGUGUUGGCUCCUAGUCUUGAACUUCCAGCUCCCAGAACCGAGAAAAUAAAGACCUGUUACGUAAACUA